ACGGAAGGCAGCAGUGGGGAAUAUUGCACAAUGGGGGAAACCCUGAUGCAGCGACGCCGCGUGAGUGAAGAAGUAUUUCGGUAUGUAAAGCUCUAUCAGUAGGGAAGAAAAUGACGGUACCUAACUAAGAAGCCCCGGCUAACUACGUGCCAGCAGCCGCGGUAAUACGUAGGGGGCAAGCGUUAUCCGGAUUUACUGGGUGUAAAGGGAGCGCAGACGGCAAAGCAAGUCUGAUGUGAAAUGCGGGGGCUCAACCCCUGAACUGCAUUGGAAACUGUUUAGCUAGAGUGCAGGAGAGGUAAGUGGAAUUCCUAGUGUAGCGGUGAAAUGCGUAGAUAUUAGGAGGAACACCGGUGGCGAAGGCGGCUUACUGGACGAUAACUGACGUUGAGGCUCGAAAGCGUGGGGAGCAAACAGGAUUAGAUACCCUGGUA
RNAcentral lists this ribosomal RNA (434 nucleotides) under uncultured Lachnospiraceae bacterium. RNAcentral's name for it is "partial 16S ribosomal RNA". It matches the Rfam family "Bacterial small subunit ribosomal RNA", at positions 341 to 792 of the family's 1533-position model. The record is from RNAcentral. Lineage: Bacteria; Bacillati; Bacillota; Clostridia; Lachnospirales; Lachnospiraceae.